Molecule: non-coding RNA, 53 nt
Filed under: unclassified sequences
Description: Mu-gpT-DE RNA
Rfam family: Mu-gpT-DE RNA
Source: Rfam by way of RNAcentral
CCCUGACAGUCGCCUGAUGCGGCUGACAUUUGCCACGACAGGAGACUCACAUG